This 875-nucleotide ribosomal RNA is filed under the name uncultured Actinomycetes bacterium. RNAcentral's name for it is "bacterial SSU rRNA". It matches the Rfam family "Bacterial small subunit ribosomal RNA", at positions 636 to 1510 of the family's 1533-position model. Lineage: Bacteria; Bacillati; Actinomycetota; Actinomycetes. The record is from RNAcentral.
CAUGGCUAGAGUCCGGUAGGGGCCCACGGAAUUCCUGGUGUAGCGGUGAAAUGCGCAGAUAUCAGGAGGAACACCGGUGGCGAAGGCGGUGGGCUGGGCCGGAACUGACGCUGAGGAGCGAAAGCGUGGGGAGCGAACAGGAUUAGAUACCCUGGUAGUCCACGCCGUAAACGUUGGGCACUAGGUGUGGGACCUUAUCAACGGGUUCCGUGCCGUAGCUAACGCAUUAAGUGCCCCGCCUGGGGAGUACGGCCGCAAGGCUAAAACUCAAAGGAAUUGACGGGGGCCCGCACAAGCGGCGGAGCAUGUGGCUUAAUUCGAGGCAACGCGAAGAACCUUACCUGGGUUGAACUACGCAGGAAAAGCCGCAGAGAUGCGGUGUCCGCAAGGGCCUGCGAUAGGUGGUGCAUGGCUGUCGUCAGCUCGUGUCGUGAGUUGUUGGGUUAAGUCCCGCAACGAGCGCAACCCUUGUCCUAUGUUGCCAGCGGGUAAUGCCGGGGACUCGUAGGAGACUGCCGGGGUCAACUCGGAGGAAGGUGGGGAUGACGUCAAGUCAUCAUGCCCCUUACGUCCAGGGCUGCACACAUGCUACAAUGGCCGGUACAAAGGGCUGCUAUCCCGCGAGGGUGAGCGAAUCCCAAAAAGCCGGUCUCAGUUCGGAUCGUAGUCUGCAACUCGACUACGUGAAGUCGGAGUCGCUAGUAAUCCCGGAUCAGCAACGCCGGGGUGAAUACGUUCCCGGGCCUUGUACACACCGCCCGUCACACCACGAAAGUCGGUAACACCCGAAGCCAGUGGCCCAACCGCAAGGAGGGAGCUGUCGAAGGUGGGAUCGGUGAUUGGGGUGAAGUCGUAACAAGGUAUCAAUCCCGCGG